GACGACUCAUAAUAACUGAUCGAAUCGCAUGGGCUUUGCCCGCGAUACAUCAUUCAAGUUUCUGCCCCAUCAGCUUUCGAUGGUAGUGUAUUGGACUACCAUGGCUUUCACGGGUAACGGAGGAUUAGGGUUCGAUUCCGGAGAGGGAGCCUGAGAAACGGCUACCACAUCUAAGGAAGGCAGCAGGCGCGUAAAUUACCCAAUCCUGACUCAGGGAGGUAGUGACAAGAAAUAACGGACCGAAGCCUAUGUUUCGGGAUUGCAAUGAGUAGAAUUUAAACCCCUUUACGAGGAUCAAUUGGAGGGCAAGUCUGGUGCCAGCAGCCGCGGUAAUUCCAGCUCCAAUAGCGUAUAUUAAAUUUGUUGCAGUUAAAAAGCUCGUAGUUGGAUUUCUGAGAGGGCGCCAAUGUCCGCUGAUUGCGUGUGCAGCGGUGCCCUCUCAUCCUUCUGUUAACGUUUCUGAUAUUCAUUUAUUGGUCUCGGGCUCAGAUAUUUUACCUUGAGAAAAUUAGAGUGUUCCAGGCAGGCUAGCGCCGGAAUACAUUAGCAUGGAAUAAUAGAAUAGGACUUUAGUCUCCUUUGUUGGUUUGAGGGACUGAAGUAAUGAUUAAUAGGGACAGUUGGGGGCAUUAGUAUUUAAUUGUCAGAGGUGAAAUUCUCGGAUUUGUUAAAGACUAACUUAUGCGAAAGCAUUUGCCAAGGAUGUUUUCAUUAAUCAAGAACGAAAGUUAGGGGAUCAAAGACGAUCAGAUACCGUCCUAGUCUUAACCAUAAACUAUGCCGACUAGGGAUCGGAGGCGCGCCUUAUCCGCCUUCGGCACCUUAUGAGAAAUCAAAGUCUUUGGGUUCUGGGGGGAGUAUGGUCGCAAGGCUGAAACUUAAAGGAAUUGACGGAAGGGCACCACCAGGAGUGGAGCUUGCGGCUCAAUUUGACUCAACACGGGAAAACUUACCAGGUCCAGACAUAGUGAGGAU
This 975-nucleotide ribosomal RNA is filed under the name Stichotrichia sp. 2 cPFEU4. RNAcentral describes it as "SSU rRNA". It matches the Rfam family "Eukaryotic small subunit ribosomal RNA", at positions 245 to 1240 of the family's 1831-position model. Lineage: Eukaryota; Ciliophora; Spirotrichea. The record is from RNAcentral.